Molecule: non-coding RNA, 2556 nt
Organism: Oryctolagus cuniculus (rabbit)
Lineage: Eukaryota; Metazoa; Chordata; Mammalia; Lagomorpha; Leporidae
Source: RefSeq, a predicted model, not a curated record
CUGACCAUAUAACUGAGAUUCCAUUCCUGCGAGUUCUCUGGGGAAACGCCAAGUUGGAUUUCCACAAAGACCUGUUUAUCAAUCUGUUGCUGCUCCAUUCCCAGAUCUAGAUCCUGAGGUGACCCAACUUCAUCCUCUUAUUUAAAAAAAUUUUUUUUUUAAUUUAUUUGAAUGACAGAAUUAGAGAAUGAUCCUCCAUCUGCCAGUUCUCUCCCCAUGUUGCCACCACAGUCAGGGCAGGUCAGCAGAAAGCCAGGAGCUUCCUCCAUGUCUCUCACAUGUACAGGGGCGCAGGGACUUGGGCCAUCCUCUGCUGCUUUCUCAGGCACAUUAGCAGGGAGCUGCAAGUGCCUCAGGGUGUGGGAUCGCACAUUGCACCAUGAUGCCGGCCCACAUCCAGCUUUUCUAGAGCGUGUCUUCGUGUUUCAGUUGUUCUGGGCAUAGCACUGUGGGUCCUGUUGCUUUUCCCAUCUGAUUAGAGUCCCUUUUCUUCCUGUUCGGCAGAGUAAUGAAACCUUAGGGCCGCACGAUUCUUUGACCCUCUGCUCUGUUGUGACUGUUCCCCUUGGUGUGACCUUUGUACAAACAGAGCCUCACCCUCUGAGUCUGUGCUUUCUGUUUUGGGUUCUGCAGAUGUCGUUUAGAGAAUUUAAGGGCGAAAACACAGCCAGCAGUGAUUUAAAUCCUUAACGUUUCUCCUGCUCUUCAUUACUCCUGAUGUACCAGACUUCCUGUGGGCAGGAUUUCACUUUAGCCUGAAGAAUUCCAUUCACUUGGUGCUAUUUUGAUGGCAAGUGGUCUUCUGAUGACUGCUCUUAGUAUUCCUUCUUCUCCACCACCCUUCCUUUUUCUGCAUAGGGGGCUGAGAUCCUUCAGGGUGUCUUGGUUCCCUCAAGAAUCCUGGGAGAUCUUUUCUUUCUGCACUUGGAGGACAGGGUUCUAGUAUCCUGUGGACUUUGUGUUUUCUGAUGAGAAGUCAAACCCUCUCAUGUGGGUAUUCCCUUGUUGGGAGUGUGCCAUUGGCUCUGAUUUCAAGAUUCCCCCCCCCCUUUUUUUUUGUGGAUUGUUCACAUGUCCCUGUAAUGCUUCUGAGCUACUUGGAUUGUAUUCCUAAAAGGAUGAUCUUCCUGGCCAUUGGAUUCUUUAUAGAUUUUGUUGUUCACUGCUCCCCCAUUUCUCCCCCCCCCCCCCAUUUCAGGCUCCCAAACAUUAGGACUCUUGCUCUGGUUCACACAUCUCUGAGGCUCCAUUCAUUUAGCUUCCAGCUUCUUCCCUUCUCUUUGUUCUUCAACUUGUACCUUUCUGUUGAUUGGCAUGUAAUCUGAUCCUUCCUCUUUUUCUACACUCUGGCCCUGAUUCAAUCCAUUGCAUUUUUUUUUGACAGGCAGAGUAGACAGUGAGAGAAAGAGACAGAGAGAAAGGUCUUCCAUUUGCCCUUGGUUCACCCUCCAAUGGCUGCCAUGGCUGGCGCCCUACGCAUCGUGGUGAUCCAAAUCCAGGAGCUAGGUGCUUCUCCUAGUCUCCCAUUGGGUGCAGGGCCCAAGGACCUGGGCCAUCCUACACUGCACUUCCGGGCCAUAGAAGAGAGCUGGCCUGGAAGAGUGGCAACUGGGACAGAAUCAGGCACCCCGACUGUGACUAGAACCCGGUGUGCCAGCACCGCAAAGUGGAGGAUUAGCCUGUUGAGCCACGGCGCCAUCCCAUCCAUUGCAGUUUGAUAGCUCUCUGAUGUGCACAGUUCUCCUGACAUUUGCAAGUGCCGCUCUUCCAUGUUCUUCUCAGUGGUGUUUACCCUCGUGCCGUGGUCCAGAUCCACCGACAAGAAUACCUGUGAGCUUCCAGCUACUGUGACUGCUGGGAGGCUGCAGGUCAUGGUGCAACUGCCAGGGUCCCUGACACCCUUGUGGAAGACCUGGAUUCAGUUCCUGGGUCCUGGAAUCACUCUGCCCCAUCUCUUCCUGAGUGCCUUGAAACCAUCAGAAGACACAGCCGCUAUUCUGCCUACACUACAUCUCAAGACCAUAGGUUUGGUUCGUGAGCUGUGAAGAAUCAGUCCCAUGCCAGUGUGGAAAGAGAAAGCCCUAUUUUCUGAUUUGUCACCUGUGAGGACCCUCCUCUGAGGACACUAGCACUCAUGUCUCCUUAACUCUACUGGAUACUUGGAACCAAAGCUGGGAACUGAGAACUGAUCCACGUCUUCCAUGUGGCUGGAAAGCACCCAACUUCUUGAGCCAUCACCACUGUCUCCCAGGAUGCACAUGGGCGGGAACUAGAGACAGAGAGAAAUGUGGCCUCUUAGACAAGGAAGGAAGAAGGCUGCUCUGGGAUGACCCAGGCAGAGAGUGGAAGCAUGCACUGCAAAGCAAGCAAGCCAAGGACUGCAGCAACUGCCAGAAGCUAGGAAGAGACCAUGAAGGGUCCUAGCCUGGAGCAUGCAGAUAGAGCAGAGGGCAGGAGGCUCCUGACCUCAGGCUCUGCCCUCCAGAACCAUGGUCCAGCUUCCAGUUUUAAUGCCACACAGAUUGCAAUAAAGAGGUAUGGUGACUAGAAAACUAA